CCUACGGGAGGCAGCAGUGGGGAAUAUUGCGCAAUGGGCGCAACCCUGAUCCAGCAACGCCGCGUGAGGGAAGAAGUCUUUCGGUUUGUAAACUUCUUUUCUCAGGGACGAAGCAAGCGACGGUACCUUAGGAAUCAGCCACGGCUAACUACGCGCCAGCCGCCGUGGUAAUACGUAGGCGGCAAGCGUUAUCCGGAUUGACUGGGUGUAAAGGGCGUGUCGGCGGGGAAGCAAGUCAGAUGUGAAAUCCACGGGCUCAACCUGUGGCCUGCAUUUGAAACUGUGUAGCUUGAGUACUGGGGAGGCAGACGGAAUUCCUAGUGUAGCGGUGAAAUGCGUAGAUAUUAGGAGGAACACCAGUGGCGAAGGCGGUCUGCUGGACCGCAACUGACGCUGAGGCGCGAAAGCGUGGGGAGCAAACAGGAUUAGAUACCCUGGUAGUC
Molecule: ribosomal RNA, 443 nt
Filed under: uncultured bacterium
Lineage: Bacteria
Description: partial 16S ribosomal RNA
Rfam family: Bacterial small subunit ribosomal RNA
Source: RNAcentral